CGAAGGUCCCAAGCGUUAUCCGGAUUUAUUGGGUUUAAAGGGUGCGUAGGCGGGCUAUUAAGUCAGUGGUGAAAGCCCCAAGCUUAACUUGGGAACUGCCAUUGAUACUGAUGGUCUUGAGUACAUUUGAGGUGGGCGGAAUGUGUCAUGUAGCGGUGAAAUGCUUAGAUAUGACACAGAACACCGAUUGCGAAGGCAGCUCACUAAACUGUAACUGACGCUAAGGCACGAAAGCGUGGGGAGCAAACAGGAUUAGAUACCCUGGUAGUCCACGCCCUAAACGAUGAUCACUCGAUGUGUGCGAUAUACUGUACGCGUCUGAGCGAAAGCAUUAAGUGAUCCACCUGGGGAGUACGACCGCAAGGUUG
This 368-nucleotide ribosomal RNA is filed under the name uncultured organism. RNAcentral's name for it is "bacterial SSU rRNA". It matches the Rfam family "Bacterial small subunit ribosomal RNA", at positions 526 to 896 of the family's 1533-position model. The record is from RNAcentral.